Non-coding RNA from Arachis ipaensis, 1593 nucleotides. The record is from RefSeq and is a predicted model, not a curated record. NCBI's taxonomy places the organism in Eukaryota, Viridiplantae, Streptophyta, Magnoliopsida, Fabales, Fabaceae.
GGUUCAUCUUUUGAGUAUUGUAUAGAGACUGUGAAGUCCAAUUCAAAAAUAGAAGAGAGUAGUUAUGCAACAGGGCCUUCCUCGCCCUCUCCACCUCUUUGCCGUUAGAGCAAGUGAUUCCCACAACGGUAACCAUGCAGGUCUACUCCACAAGCUUGGCCUCUCCGACGCAGAAUGCGAAGCCGCCGUUGUUGCCAGUAACGUCCCGGAGGCACCUCCGAUUCCCCCUAAACCAGCUUCUCUGGUUGGAACUCCCGUCGUCCCUUCACUUCCACUUAACAGGCGUCCUCGACACAACCGGAGGAUGCCGGCGCUGAGGGAAGCUUUUCAGGAGACAACAAUAUCGCCUGCGAAUUUCGUGUAUCCAAUUUUCAUUCAUGAAGGUUGGUCUUGUUUUUACUUGUUUUAUGCAUUGUUCAUGUGUAGUGGAGGUAGUGUAAUAUGCUAUGCUGGAUCUGUUUUGAUUCGUAGCAAUUGAACUUGCAGGUGAGGAGGACACUCCAACUGGGGCUAUGCCGGGAUGCUACAGGCUUGGAUGGAGGCAUGGACUUGUGCAAGAGGUUGUUAUUUACUCUUGUUUCUGUAUCUCCUACUAAAAGUGCUCUAGUAAUCCUCCUUAGCAUUACACUUGAUUAAUUCCCUUUUUAUGGAUUGGCUUUAAUGUUUUCUAGCAUUAUUCAUUUAUUUGAGUUACUUAUCAGAACUUUGAAGCUGUUUAAAUAUGUUCAAGACGUUUAGAUAGAUUUAAUUGUUUCUUUAAAUAUCUAGGCUGGAAGGAACUUGGCUAGUUUUGUUUGGGUAUUCUACUUCCUGUCCUGAAUUUUAUCAUGUUAUUUUAUAGUGUUAAUAGUGUGGUGCUUUUUCCUAAAAUUCCAGAUGCCUUGAAGUCUUCCACAGGGAAUGAAGCAUACAAUGAUAAUGGUUUAGUGCCUCGGUCAAUACGUUUGCUCAAGGAUAAGUUUCCAGACCUUGUAAGUGAACAUAAUUUGAGGUUAAUAUUUUCUGGUGCUAACAUGUGAGUUCAAACAAGAACUAACUAUGUAUUGCAUUACACUAUGAUAUACAUAAUAAAGAACUAUCUUCUAAUGAGCGUUGAAGUCAUACAAAUUAUUGUAGCAUGACUUAUAGGUCAGAGGCUGCUGUCCAUUUGGUACAUUGCGCCAGGCUUGGCGGUGUACAAAUUUCUAAGAUUAAAAUUGACUUUAUGGUCCUAAGAGACCCACAGUACCACGUAUUUGCACUUUUAGGUAUUAAAAUUGACUUUAUUGCUCACAUGAAUUCACACAAGAACGCUAAAAAAUGCAGGUAUACUAAUACUACAAUACAAUACUAUUAGAUAAGAACAUGUAUAUAGUGAAUAAAAAAGUGAUAUGUCUCUUUGUGUGUAUUUUAAUUUGCAGGAUAUGUAUGACAAUUUUAGCCAAAAAAUUGAAGAUGUGAUGACCGCAAAGAUAUGGUUGGAGAAGAGAAAUGUCACGUAUAUAAUUAACAUGUGUUGUUAAUUAUUGCUAUGAAUUGGUGGUGUAGUGGACAUGCUACAAUCUUGCAAAGCUCAAAUGUUGCUUGGGAAUAUAGGGUCAGUGGUCUUUUCUG